CCUACGGGUGGCAGCAGUGGGGAAUAUUGGACAAUGGGGGCAACCCUGAUCCAGCCAUGCCGCGUGUGUGAAGAAGGCCCUCGGGUUGUAAAGCACUUUCAGUGAGGAAGAACGCCUGGUGGUUAAUACCCAUCAGGAAAGACAUCACUCACAGAAGAAGCACCGGCUAACUCCGUGCCAGCAGCCGCGGUAAUCGGAGGGUGCGAGCGUUAAUCGGAAUUACUGGGCGUAAAGCGCGCGUAGGUGGCUUGAUAAGCCGGUUGUGAAAGCCCCGGGCUCAACCUGGGAACGGCAUCCGGAACUGUCAAGCUAGAGUGCAGGAGAGGAAGGUAGAAUUCCCGGUGUAGCGGUGAAAUGCGUAGAGAUCGGGAGGAAUACCAGUGGCGAAGGCGGCCUUCUGGACUGACACUGACACUGAGGUGCGAAAGCGUGGGUAGCAAACAGGAUUAGAUACCCUUGUAGUC
Molecule: ribosomal RNA, 464 nt
Filed under: Vreelandella stevensii
Lineage: Bacteria; Pseudomonadati; Pseudomonadota; Gammaproteobacteria; Oceanospirillales; Halomonadaceae
Description: partial 16S ribosomal RNA
Rfam family: Bacterial small subunit ribosomal RNA
Source: RNAcentral